Lathyrus oleraceus (garden pea) is the source of this 1596-nucleotide long non-coding RNA. RefSeq lists it as uncharacterized. The record is from RefSeq and is a predicted model, not a curated record. Lineage: Eukaryota; Viridiplantae; Streptophyta; Magnoliopsida; Fabales; Fabaceae. The transcript is spliced from 2 exons.
AUGAUCUUUGGUAAAAAACUAGGUCCUUUCAACGGAUAAUCCGGAAGCUCUUCCUUGUUCGAAAAAAUCGAAGAAUGAAGAACUGACCGCGUGAAAAUCUACAAUCAAGAUCGAGUGUUUGCUCGCGCUAAAGGAAAAAUACGAAGGGAGAAAUAACCUACCGGGUUCGACGCGUCCGGUGAUUCUUCUUCUCUUUCGACUAUGCGUCUGUUACCGCUUACGUGUUUCAAUCUCGUUCUGUUUCCGCAAUCGCGCGCGUGUUGAAUGAUGACGAGUGUGGCGUUGUUCGUCACGCUGAUUCGUUCCGCCGCUGAAUGAAACGUUGGUAGAUUGGCAAGAUUCCCGGUUGAAGAAGCGACUCGAUUUCGACCUCAACUGUUCGUUGACGGAUUCAUGAUGACGAGUCGAAGGGUGAAGGUUAUUUGGAGAUGUGGUUUUAGAGGUUAUGGGUUUUGGUUAUCGAUUGUUACCGAUUGAGGGGAAGAUGAUGCAGAGUGAUGGUUGAGUUGGAGGGUUCUUCCAGAAUUCUGGACUGUUGAAGAUUGGUUCAAGGAGUGACGGGUGAGUCUUGUGCAUGAUGAUGGUGGAGGGAGUCGGUGAGGGAAAAGGUUGAAGAGUUUUAUUUCUGUUGUGGAAUUUUUCCUUCUCGGUUCUUAGAUGGUUGUAGCAGUUAUGAAGGUGGUUAUCAAUUGGUAAGAAAUCUGUUUAGAGGUGGUAGGGUUGGUUGAAGUUUUGUUAGAAGAAGUGGAGUUUGAAGAAGAGAGUGAAGGUUAAGGGAGGUUUUCGGAUGUGACUGUCUUGUGAAAAUCAUGGUUAUUUUACUGCUUGUUUAUGCAGGUAGUUCGGUUUAUGCGCUGCCGUCGUUUUGGAUGAUUUGCAUUUUCAACCUUCUAUUGCACCGUGUUCGGUUUGUACUUUUGGCCGUGUUUUGCAGCUUUCGCGUUUGGUUGCAGCCGUGUUGCUGCAUUUGCUUUGGACGUCGAGCAUCAGAUUAUUCAUGCGGAUUUGAAGCUCUCCACUGAUUGCUUGACUGUAUAGCAGUCUAGUUUGGGAUUCCGAAACAAAUGGGAACCAAGCUAAUACGACCACUGAUGUAAAGAUAACCAACCCCAUAAGGUAUUCACACCCUCUUGAUAAAGCUUUGAUAGAACCUCACAUUCCAAUGGCCUUUAUGAACGGCCUACAUGCUUGUGCUAUCUGGACAAGUGCCCACCCUGUUGGCAAAAAUGCUAUCCAGGAUAAACCAUAAACCGUGAUGCUCUGGCCACCUUUGGCUACAUUUGAAUGAUACACAAUCGCAUAUUGGUAAACAAAGGAAUGAAAGUCAAGAAUUAUCUCCCAAAUCAACUCCCAUAUUCCAGUAUGCUGCAAAUGCUUCUGUUCUUCAUAUAUCUCCACCUGUUUUGUGUAUUUUCCUCCAUAUUUUCUUUUAAUUCCAACCAAUUAUUGUAAUAUGUAUUAGUCAUUAGGAUGUAAUAAGUUGUAAUAGUAUUUAGCUUAUAUAAAAUGAUUCACACAAUGCCAAAUUUCAUGUAAUGCAAUGCAUAUGGACAUGUUUAUGUGAUCAUGAUUUAAUGCAAUAUCAAUUUUUAUGAA